AUCGAUAAUCCCCGAUAANUUUAACUUUACUUAAAAAUUUAUAUACCGCCAUCUCAAGAAUUAAUUAAAAAAUAUUUCUCAAAAAAAUAAUUAAAAAGUUAGGUCAAGGUGUAAUCAAUAUUAAAGAAUUAGAUGAUUUACAUUAAACAUUAUUUAAAGAUUUUAAAUAAAUUCAUUUAUAUAAAUAAGAAUUUAAAAGUAAUGUUUAAAUAAUAUUAAAACAUAAAUAGGAUAAUAAAUGUGUACACAUCGCCC
This 255-nucleotide ribosomal RNA is filed under the name Platocoelotes icohamatoides. Its description in RNAcentral is "partial 12S ribosomal RNA". The record is from RNAcentral. Lineage: Eukaryota; Metazoa; Arthropoda; Arachnida; Araneae; Agelenidae.